GUGCUGGCUUCGGCUGCACGUCUACGAAAACUGGAACGAUACGGAGGAGAUGAGCCUGGCCCCUGCGCAAGGAUGACGGGCAAAACAUGUACUGAGAGCACUUCCAU
Molecule: small nuclear RNA, 107 nt
Organism: Phyllostomus discolor (pale spear-nosed bat)
Lineage: Eukaryota; Metazoa; Chordata; Mammalia; Chiroptera; Phyllostomidae
Source: RefSeq, a predicted model, not a curated record